UAGCUCAGACGGUAAAGCGUCUGCCUACAAUGCAGGAGACCUGGGUUCGAUCCCUG
Molecule: transfer RNA, 56 nt
Filed under: Muntiacus reevesi (Reeves' muntjac)
Lineage: Eukaryota; Metazoa; Chordata; Mammalia; Artiodactyla; Cervidae
Rfam family: tRNA
About the family: Transfer RNA (tRNA) molecules are approximately 80 nucleotides in length. Their secondary structure includes four short double-helical elements and three loops (D, anti-codon, and T loops).
Source: Rfam by way of RNAcentral